Molecule: ribosomal RNA, 403 nt
Filed under: Fusobacteriota bacterium
Lineage: Bacteria; Fusobacteriati; Fusobacteriota
Description: Fusobacteria bacterium partial 16S ribosomal RNA
Rfam family: Bacterial small subunit ribosomal RNA
Source: RNAcentral
UGGGGAAUAUUGCACAAUGGAGGGAACUCUGAUGCAGCGACGCCGCGUGAACGAAGAAGGCUUUCGAGUCGUAAAGUUCUUUUAUAUGGGAAGAUAAUGACGGUACCAUAAGAAAAAGCCCCGGCUAACUACGUGCCAGCAGCCGCGGUAAUACGUAGGGGGCUAGCGUUGUCCGGAAUCACUGGGCGUAAAGGGUUCGCAGGCGGAAAUGCAAGUCAGGUGUAAAAGGCAGUAGCUUAACUACUGUAAGCAUUUGAAACUGCAUAUCUUGAGAAGAGUAGAGGUAAGUGGAAUGUUUAGUGUAGCAGUGAAAUGCGUAGAUAUUAAAAAGAAUACCGGUGGCGAAGGCGACUUACUGGGCUCAUUCUGACGCUGAGGAACGAAAGCGUGGGUAGCAAACAGG